Molecule: ribosomal RNA, 463 nt
Filed under: uncultured bacterium
Lineage: Bacteria
Description: bacterial SSU rRNA
Rfam family: Bacterial small subunit ribosomal RNA
Source: RNAcentral
GUACGGGAGGCAGCAGUGGGGAAUUUUGGACAAUGGGCGCAAGCCUGAUCCAGCAAUGCCGCGUGCAGGAAGAAGGCCUUCGGGUUGUAAACUGCUUUUGUACGGAACGAAACGGCUCUGGUUAAUACCUGGGGCUAAUGACGGUACCGUAAGAAUAAGCACCGGCUAACUACGUGCCAGCAGCCGCGGUAAUACGUAGGGUGCAAGCGUUAAUCGGAAUUACUGGGCGUAAAGCGUGCGCAGGCGGUUUUGUAAGACAGGCGUGAAAUCCCCGGGCUCAACCUGGGAAUGGCGCUUGUGACUGCAAAGCUGGAGUGCGGCAGAGGGGGAUGGAAUUCCGCGUGUAGCAGUGAAAUGCGUAGAUAUGCGGAGGAACACCGAUGGCGAAGGCAAUCCCCUGGGCCUGCACUGACGCUCAUGCACGAAAGCGUGGGGAGCAAACAGGAUUAGAUACCCCGGUAGA